Rattus norvegicus (Norway rat) is the source of this 12380-nucleotide long non-coding RNA. RefSeq lists it as uncharacterized. NCBI's taxonomy places the organism in Eukaryota, Metazoa, Chordata, Mammalia, Rodentia, Muridae. The record is from RefSeq and is a predicted model, not a curated record.
GCAAGAACAAGAAGGCAAGAGAGGGAGGAGGGGUCAAGCAGCCUGGUUUACAUUGAGUCAGGCACACCUGGCCGUUGCCUGGUAACUGGGUGGAGCCUAGGCGGUUUAGUUUUUGGGAUAGGGUCUUGUUAUAGGUCUCAGACUGGCCUCAAACUUGAAGCGUUCCUAUUCACAUGGUCGCCAUCUCCUGGCAAUCCUCCUGCUUCAGCCACACAGGAGGUGAGAUUGUAGUCAUGAGCCGCCGUGCCUGUCUUAGACAACAUCUCUAGGGGCUGCAGGGAGACCACAUCUCUGCGUCACUAGCUCACUCCAUUGUCCCCUCUUGGCCCUUGUCAUCUCCUCAGCGUUUCCCUCCUGCCUCACUCCGGCAGUUACACUGCAUUCUAGGGGAACUGGCAUGCACUAAACAUCUUUACAGAAAGGAACAGAAACUAGCCCCAGGGAACAACACUUGCAGGACUUUUUACAGUCCCUAAAGAGAACAGACUUCAUGACAGCAGGGUUGCACCCAGAACUGGAGUGAGUACCUAGGAACCGUUUCCCUGAAGUGAUGACGCAUGCAGAACUGAUCCCAGCGAACUGACCAAACCACUGACCUGACCAGAACCACGUGCUCCAUCAGCUCUUUAGCCUAACAACCCCUCUUUUUCUCUUUUCUGCAACAUCGUAAAGUUCUCACGUGCUCCCUGAAUAUGGGCUCGGGUCACUGAACCCCAUUAUCUCUUCUACUCAAUGUGUCCACUCUGGUGAAAUACCAUUUCUCUACCUUUCUGCACUACUGGUCUCUUUGAUUGGCAUGUUGGGAGAGUCUGCUCCAGGUUACCUUUGCCCUAAGAUUCUUAACACUCAAGGACACACAUGGAUGUAAAUAAAAUGCUGUUAGACACUUCCGGUCCCUGGGCAGUGUCUGCAGAGACUUGGGAGUCUAGCUGAGCAGUCUCCUCAUUUGCAAAUGAGAAACUCUGGCCUCCUAAGUCUACCAGGGUUAAACCAGCAGGGGUUGGCUUCAACUGACGGUGAAGGUGGUUAACCCUUCGGCUGCUCACCAUUCAGCAAGGAUCAGCUACUCUCAGACUCUGGAUGACCCCAAGUGGCCAGUCUGGGCAUCUCCCUCCCUUCCGUGAAGGUUGCCGUAGAUAAGGAAAGUCCAGUUUCCCUCAUUCCAUAUCCUUACUCUUUCUGUUUUUUUCUUUUUUUUUUUUUAAUUGUUAAUGUUUGUUUUUUUCUUUACUAUUGUUGCUGUUUGGGGUUUUGUUUUGUCUUGUUUUGCUUUUCAGGACAGGGUUUUCUCCUGGAACUCUCUCUGUAGACCAAGCUGGCCUUGAACUCACAAAGAUCCACCCGCCUCUGCCUUCUGAGUGCUGGAAUUAAAAGCGUGUGCCACCACCACCCAGCUGCUCAUUUCCCUUUUAAUUUCCUUCCCUUAUCUAGAAAGGACUUGAGGGGCUCUUGAUGAUGCUUACAUCAAACUGAUCAGAAGUCCCCCGGGGAGGGCACCUGGGAUGUGAGCUCUUCCCAUGAGGACAUAGAUACAGACAACACAGGGUCAGUGUCUGCUGGACCUGUUCAUGAGGUGCCUCUGGUGCUCCAUGAUACCAGAGAAGUCAUUUCCAAUGGAGCCAAGCAAGUAAACCAGAGCUCUCCUCACCCCUAGACAAGUGCGAAAGGCCCUCCCAGGACCUCGGAGUGCUUGUGCACUUAUGUGUCCUGUCUUCCCCACCCUGCUCCAAGGAGGAGAAUAAUGAGCAAGAAGGAGGCUGGGAUGCAGGUCCAGGAUAUGAGAGACCUCAGAGUGAGUUCUGACUGAAGAUGGGAAACCUUAAAAGGGUGGGACUCACUGGGGGUGUGGUCAGCAGGUGCAGACCGUGGACUCUCAGCUGAGAGACUAGGUUAAGGCAUGACAAUACUCUUCAAUCACUGGGUAUAUGGUUCUGCCUGGGUUAACUAUCCUGCAACAAUUUAAAUACACUUUAGGGAAAACUGCACAAAAGUUGUGUAAAUGAACAGCCAUUGCUGAAACAACCCGCUACCACAAAAUUUUCUAUGGAACUCACUUGAGGAGCCUGAGAGGUGGCUGAGGAGUUAAGCGAUUACAGAUUACGGAGUUUGAUUUCUACAACACACAACUGCCUAUAACUCCAGCUCCAGGAGAUCCGACACACUUCUGGAUGGCCUCCUCAAGUACAUAAUUAAAAAUAAAUACUUUUAAAAACUCACUUAGAUACCACUGGGUAUCACAUUAAACAAAACCAGACAAAAGCAUCACUUAGAGCCUGAAAAUUUCCCUUAAAUUGCUUUAGGUCGAGCUGGAGAGUGCCAACAGACCUAACAGACAGGGAGGGCAUCAGAGGCCGAAGCUAGGGAUAAAUGGGAGCUUGGGGACAGGGGACAUCUUGUUUGAAGUGAGAGAUGCCUGUGAGUCUGUCCCAGGAGGACCGCGAUCCACAGUUACCCUUGGGGGAAUUCUGAUACUCAUAUUGUCUGGGGUUGUUUCCAUAGCACCUCCCUUUAUAGCACCUCUAUGCUGCUGCUUCAAAUGUUUGGGGUACAUCUCUCCAAGGUAAAUGCAAAGCAGUUGCCAGCAGGACCUACAGGACGGACUCCUCCAUGGUGGGCAUCUGUGAAGGGCAGGUCACUGCAGAAAAAGUAACUGAAAGACGCUGAAGACACGGUUUAAUCAGUACAGUGCUUGCCGCACAAGCACAGGGACCUGAGUUCAGGUUCCCCAGAACUUACAUAAAAGCCCAAUACAGUGGUAUGGUCUGUAAUCUCUGCUCCUGCAGGCAGGGGUCAGGGUGGAGGGAUGACAAAGACCUGCAGCUUGGUGGCCAGUCAAUCUAGCCUAGUUGGCAAGCUCCAGGCUAGUGAGGAAUCCCUUCUCAAAAAAAAUAAGGUGGAAAACAAUGGAGAAAGACUGUCAGAAGAUAGCCUCUGGAACACACACACACACACACACACACACACACACACACACACCACACACACACACCACACACACACACCACACACACACACCACACACACACCACACACACACACACCACACACACACACACACACCACACCACACACACACACCACACACCACACACACACACACACCACAGCAUACACACACCACAGCACACACACACCACAGCACACACCACACACCACACACCACACACCACAGACCCCAAUACACACCACACACCACACCACACACCACACACCCCACACACACCACACCACACACACACAUCCCACACACACCACACACACAUACCACAUGCACACCCCACAUACUCACCACACAUACACCCCACACACACCACACACCACAUACUCACCACACACAUACACACACCACAUGCACACACUCCACACAUUCACCACACACACACACACACCACCCACACACCACACACACCAUACACACACACACACCUCAUACCCCACACACCCCCAGACACCACACACCACACACCCACACACUACACACACACAUACACACACAACACACAUAAAUGCACCACACACCACAUACACACACACACCACACACACACUAAACACACAUCACACACACAUACACCACACACACCACACACACACAUACACAUACACCACACAUACAACACACAUACAACACAUCACACAUAUACACCAUACACACACAUAAUGGAGGGGUUGGAUAGACACAGACUGGACAAAAGCAGUUGAAAAUAAUUCCCUCUUUCUGUACAAUUUAGACUUUAUGAUAAUGUCGUGUUUUAUAGUUAGGAAAAGUGGAAAUAGCGGCUCCUAAUAGGCCUGGAAGAGAGGAACCCCACCCCCAUCCCCAGGGUUAGUUAUUCACGUGUGUUUCUGAAAUACAUUUUUACAAACUGAAAAGGACAUAUGCAUUUAUAAAAGAUAAGAGCCCCGAAGGAGCUGUGGCUGUGACCAAGUGAGGAUGAAGACCUCCCAGGGUCAGUGGUUGGCCUCACUGUCAUCUUAACCAACCAGGAAAAGCCGGGACAGGUAGGUAAGGUGGAGGCUGGGGUGAGAGUCAUGGACUGUGCUUGGCUUGCUUCCAGGGGGUGUUUGUUGACCACCCCUACGAAGCAACUUCACUUUGUCCUUUGAACUGGCUAAAUGGAAGGAGGGUAGGUGGGGUAAAGACAGUAAAAUCUGUCGGUGCUGGUCUCCACAGAGGCCACCCAAGACACCAGCCUCAGAGCACAGCCUGGGCAGCAAUGAGCCACCUUUGUCCAACCUGAGACCCCAGAGCAGUGUAAGAGAAUGAGCCACACCGGCCCACGGCAGCAUGUCCCAUCUGUGCCUGCCUGGAGCGCCAAAGCUGGUCAGGGACGGCCAGGCCCCCUUCCCCGACCUCACCCUCGUCAAUCUGCUUUAAACCCAUGACUCCUUCCUUCCAUUGCCCCAGUGUACUGGUGAACCUCCCAACCUUGGGUACCCACCCCAGCCACCCCUCACCUCAGCCUCAGGACCACAUCAUGGGCUUGACCUUCCUACACUGUUCCACCAUGCCUCCCAGACGUAGCUGUGGAGGGCUGAGGGGCACUGAGACCCUGGAAUGUCCUUCACCCUCCAUUCCCACCCAGCCCGAAGCUACGCAAGUCUGAUUUUCUUGUCACUUCCCAUAUCCACGAAUUUAAUCCUGAGUCCCCAUUCGCUCAGAAACAUGCACAGUCUUUCACCAGACAAGAUCACACAUGUGCAUGCAGCACAACCCUACAUACCCACGGGUAUAUGUCAGCCUAGAGCUGGGGUCAACCUGGACCCGACCUGCAGAGAGAGAUCUGGUCUACUGAGGUAUAUGGUUGCCCUCCAUUGUUCAAGGACAGCAUUCCCGAGUCCAACAACGGAGGAGCCAUUCCUAGAUUGUUCCAGAUUCAGGAGGCACACAGCCUUUCCAGCCAUACCAAGGCCCAGGGUAGGAGUUCCAUUAACAGCAUGGCCUGGGGACUCCCUGGAGAAAUGACAGCUCUCAGCCUAGCCAGGUCAAGCCAGAUUGCUUCUCCCUUGGCCAAGGUCUCCUGAGAUGUUCUGGAAAUUGGAGCUAGGAGACAUGGGUACUGACUGGAUACUUAACUGUUCUUCAAUUUACUCUCAAGCAAAUGUGGAAGGGGCCAGGGGUAGGGUCCACAGUCCCAGGCAAUGCUGAGAAAGCCAGGCCUGAGCCAUGAACCCAAAGAAGAUCAAGCCUGCCUAGAUUUUUCUCCCUGUCCAGCAGGUCAAGCAGACAAGGGCAGGGUUUGGUAGGGCCUAAAGUAGUGACUCCUCCUCGCCCUGGGAGAGCUUAGUUCAUUCCCAAGAGGCUCCCAGGUUCUAGGAAUUGGUGGAAGUAAUCACUCCGAGCUAGAGUCCUGGGUCUAGACAUGCUUUGAGUUUGGUGUCCAGAUCCAUGUGAAUAGAAAAGAAGUCAACUAAACAUGCAGGCUGGCCUGUAUGUAUGUGUGAUAUGUGCACAUGUGAAGAGCUUGUGUGUGUGUGUGUGUGUGUGUGUGUGUGUGUGUGUGUGUUUUCCUGGGUACAGGUGUGCUAUGUGUUCUUGUGGACUUGUGUCCUGGACUCCCAGCUCAGGUGCAGCUUUCUGACUUCUGGCCAGGUGCACCAGGGUCCCCUGGGGUGGGCAGGCAGGUGAGCACUCUGGACAAGGCAAUCAUAGUUCUUCUAGGGUUAAACUUGAGGAACUGUUUGCUUGGUGGCCUUGGAGGGCCAGCGGGAGUUCCCACGGCCUGGCCUGCGAGUGUUCCUGAUUUGUUGGUGUGGGCAGGGGAGAGAGAAAGAAACAUCAAGAGGCUGAGAUUAUUUCUCUAGAGGGAGUGACAGGCUCAGCCUUGAAAUGAAGACCUAGAGUGGAGGCCACCUCCACCCAAAGCACAGGACCAUCUGUGCUACCCCCACCCCACCCUAACCUCACACCAACCACCAGGUCCAGGAGAAGCCUGAGCCUCACUGACCAGAAACCCUCACAAACCCUGGGGGCUUCCUAUAAUGCUCUGCCUUUCCCAGCUGAGAAUGAAGACCCAAGUCUGGCUCCUGACCUUAAGUCCACAUUCUCUCCGUACACUGUAUGAAGCCCACUAAAUUUAGCUGGUGAAAAUUCAGAACACCCAGUCAAAUUCAAAUUUCAGAUGAGUGCAUAAUUUUGGGGUUCAGUAUCCUCAUAAUGGGAAGUAUUUAUGUUAAGAAAGUUUCCAUAUUGCUUUCCAGGUUCCGGCCCAGGCCACGACGACAUGGCUAAAUGCACCAAGAAGGCCCAGAUUGUCAGCAAAUACAGAACAGCUGGGGCUAAGAAAGCCCAGCCAAGAGCACUGGCUGCUCUUGCAGAGGACCCAGCUUGAUUCCUAGCACCCAUAUGUUGGCUCACAACCAUCUACAACUCCAGUUCUAGGAGAUCCAAUACCCUCCUCUGACCUCCGCGGGCACCAGGAGAGUACAUACAUACAUGCAAGAGAAAUAUUCAUUCACAGAAAAUAAUAGUGUUGUUGUUGUUGUUGUUUUUAAGUGGAACCAGUUACAAUGUCUUCCUCCAGAAAAUGGUGGGUUGAAAGCAGCCAGCACAUCAAGCACUCUUGGUCCUUUUGUGGCAAAACCAAGAUGAAAAGAUGGGCCGUUGAAAACCUGACACUGUGGUUCCUGAAUGGAAACACUACAUGGUGAGGCUUGGGUCUACAACACCACUUCUGCUGGCACAGUCAAGCCUACGGUCCGAAGACUGAAGGAAAAACCAGGAGAAACGCUACCAUUUAACAUGGCCCUAGCCUGCAGUAAAUGAGUCAAUUCAUAUAAUUAAAAAAGAAAAAAACUUGUCCAUGUUGUCUGAGAUUCAAAUCUGACCACGCUCUCCGUGUGUGUGUGUGUGUGUGUGUGUGUGUGCAUCCACACACAGGCACCUUAGGCACACACUCGGAGUGCAGAAGAUAUUGGGUGUCUUCCUCUGUCAUUCUGCCUUGUUCCCUUGAGAUGAACUUUUAUGGAACCUGAAAUUAGGUUUCCGUUAGGCUGACCGGCGGGGUGGCCAAAGAGUUCUCAGGAUCUGCCCAUCUCUGCCUACUGGGAUUACAGGAGCAUGCACCCAUGCCUGGCUUUUUUUCGAUAGGUGCUGAGGAUUUGAACUCUGGCCCUCUCAGUUUCAUAGCAGAUGCUUUUACACCCCCCCCCCCACCAGCUCUCUCCCUAAUCUGUCUCCUGUUUACGUGGUAAGGCCUCAUAGGAUCAGCUGUUAAACUGUCUCAGGAUGAAGACAUCACCCCCACUUUGCUGGGCAACUUGCAUUGUUUCUACUUUUAUUUGAGAACUGUUUGCAGAUGGUGUGAUCCACUAACCUUCUAGGGUCGAGGGUCAGUGGUAGAAUGUCUGCCUCACAUGUAUGGUGGCCCUGGGUUCAAUCCCCUGCCAACAAAUCUCUCAAAUUCACUAUCCAGGGAUUUGACAAAUGCACGUGGCUGUGACAAAUGCUUGCAGCUGUGAGCAACACCUCCCUGGGCAACCUAGUAUCCCACUUAACGUGUGUUGCUUCUUUUACCUACUGUUCCUCUGUUCAUGCUUGUCAUCCUUCCUGUGACAGUGGCAUCCAGCUUGGGGUCAUCCUUGCUCAGGUCUUGGGAGACCAGAGACCUCAAGAGCACACAUCUUGGGUAAAGUUGCCAGGCUGCUGGGGACAGGAAGUUUAUAAUGCUCCCAGGGGACUGUCGUGUCCAGCACGUAUUCUGGUGGGUGAAGGGAUGUCUGAGCAGCACUGUGUGGUGAGCUACUGUUGUUAGGGGUGCAAUGCUGUCACUCCCAGGAUGCUAGUCCUAGGGAGAGAGGACAGACAUGUUGGGGUGCAGGGCAUGUUGAGGUGGUAUAUGUUGGGGGUCCAGGGAAUGUUGGGCCACAGGACAUGUUACAGUGUGAAAAACACUUGGGUGUGGGACAUGUUUGAUUGUGAUGCCUGUUAGCCCAGGGGGCAUAUUGAGGUGUGGGGAUAUUGGGCUGUGGUAUAUGUGGUACAUGGGCUGUGGGGGUGGGGGUGGUUCAUGUUGGGCCAUGAGGCAUACUUGAAUUUGGAGAAUGUUGGUGUGUUCAGUAUGCUGGGGUAUGGGGAUUUUGAGCCAUAGGGCCUAGUGGUUAGGGAUCAUGUUGGUUUGCUAGACACGCUAGUGUGCAAGGCAUGCUGGAGUGCAGGACAUUCUGGAGGAGGAGCUUAACCUUACACUGUGGCCAGUGCAUGCAUGGAGGUCUCUACUGAGGUACAGUGGCAGGCCCUUUCCUUGGGAGCUUCAAGCAGGAAGUCCAACAAGGUUAAGGAUUGACUGCCUUGGAGAAUGAAGCCUGGUUCUAUGUGAAGACAGCUGCAGCUCCCCUCUAGCCCCACCCCCACCCCGCAAGCUCUGAAGGGCACAGAAUGGAAGGAGUGACUGAGCAGGCCUGAAGGCCACUGCUUAUCGUCGGAGUUCCGUGCCAAGCACGUCCUCCUGAUCCCACAAGGAUACUUUCUGUCUCCUAAGCAGAGGGAGGCACCCUCACGAGUGCUAGCACAGGAGCUACUGCUGGGGGAUACACAGUGCCCCUGACAGCAGGAUCAGCUGAUGUCUGGCUGCAGGUGGAGGGCUCAUCGUUGGGGAUGGGACGAGGGCCCCAGUCUAGGGCAACCCCUUCUGCCUUCAGGCCUUUCUCCCUGCCAUUAUGGAUCUCAGCCUGGCGCUCAUGGGCAGGUGGAAGCUGGGCUCAACAUGCAGUAGGACUGCCCUAGGGGAUCCUGGCAUCCUGUCUAGGUCUAGAGUUCAUCCAAGGAACUGGAGUGCUAUGGAGGAACUUUGCAAAGGGGUGGCCGUGGGCUUACCCAUUGGAUAGCAAGUUCUUGAAAGGCACUGGGACACCAGAGGUCACAGGACCUUUUGUCAGUCAUGGCCAGGAAGGCCAGGUUCAAACUAAAAUCUUCUUCACUCUUAACCUCCCAGCUCCAUCAGUUAGCCCCACAAUACUCAUAACUCCCUACGGGCCAUGGGAAACACUGGGUUCAUUACCUAGCUAAUCCCUACCCUCCCCAGGUCCAGCUGAAGGGCCAGGAAGAGGACAGUGCCUCAUACCCUUUUAGAGGGACAGCUGUUCCCACGCUGGGCUGUACUCCACCUCUCGUUGCGAAGCCCCUCUGGUCUGUACAUUGCCUUGCUAUUACCAAGUGUUGGUUUUAUAAUCUGGAGGAGAGGAGAAGGUGCAGAAAGGCAGAGGAAGCAGUUCCCUUGCCUGUCUGUCUCCCAUCCUCUCUCAGUCUCCGUCAUUCAUAGUCUUAGACCCCUGCGCUCCCACUGCCUUUCUCUCCCUCUUCCUCCUUGCCUUAUUUCUUCUAUUCCUCUGGCAAAUGUGAGGCCGAGGCCAUGGCCCAAGGUUGGGGACAACACUGUAGCUGCAGCUGCAGACAGGAGGCAGCUUUCAUGAUGUGCCAGAUGCAGACAUAAGGGGAUGGGGCCUCUGUUGGGGCCCUUUAGGCUCAGGUCCAGAAGGUUGGUUUUGAGUUAUCUUUUUCAGGCCCACAAAAAUUUGAAAGUGGGGCUCUUACCAACUAGUAUCCCUGAGAACACUUCUUUCAACCCAGGGGACUCAGAAGUGUGUCUGAGGACAGGCAUGGUGGCACAUGCCUUUAAUCCCAACACUCAGAAGGGAGAAGUAGGUGGGUCUCCAUGAGUUUGAGGCCAGCCUGGUCUACAUAGUGAGUUCCAGGGCAGCAAGGGCUACAUAGAAGAAAAACAAAACAACCAGAAAUCUCUUUCUCUCCCUCUCUCUCCUCCCCGCCCCGCCCCCAUGGGUGUGGUGUGAAUGUCGGCUUGUCUGAAUUCUUGGGGCUACAACCCCUUCUCUGUGGAACAACUCUCCACCAGAACAAAAAUCCAUAGGUCUCUGUGGAUUAGCCUAGGCGUCAUGGAGUCCAGACCUCCAGCAGCCCCCACCCCCAGUCUUCCAGCCACUCUUUAUAAGGCCUAUCAGCCACCACUCACCACUCUCAUGGCCAAAGAGCCCAGGUCCAUGGGCAUGAGGUAGGAGAUGGUUCUCAGAGCAAUAUGGUCUGUAGAUCCUGUCACUCCCAGAGUCCCAAGAGCUCUGUAAGCCCCAGUCCUUAUGACAGUCCAGGGCCUGCAGUUCUCAAGUACUCACACCCUGUGCUGCCAUGCAGUGGUCUGAGCUCCAUCCUGGGCAUUGUCAGGAAGGCUCUGAGCUCUUGGUCGUCCCUGGAUUUUCAUGUAUGGGCCCAUCUCAUUGGACUCAUAGUUACAGAUGCAGCUUUAAUCUUGCCUUAGCAUGGCAGUGUGGCCUCCCUCUGAGUGUUGCAGACAUUUGUCAUGUGGACUUGGCUAUCACCUAGGCAUUACUGGCACUGACCAGUUAACAUUCACACGCUGAAGAGCUGUGCUGCCCAGUCUGGGUGAGGAGUGCUGUAUGUCUGGAUGUCCUCUGUCCUUAGGCUCUGGCUCUGCCGAAUGGAACAAAGGACAACACAGACAGGCCCAGGAACGGUAGCAUGGAAACCUCUGCUUCCUAACAGCCUCUGACUGCCCACAUUCUGGGCAGAUGCCUGGUCAGGGGUAGUCCUUGAGACCCUAAGGCAUGGUGCUUUUGUGCAGUCUCUGUGUGGGUAUCCUUGGGUCUUUGAUGUCUCUAAAGAGCCCCCUCUAUGCUGGACAUGGUUUCUGGCUCAUGAAACCUUACAAUCAUGUCUUCUACACUCCACUGGGAGUUCUGGGAAAGGGAAAAGGCCCAUGCCAGCUUUGUACCACAGAAAACCCUCCAUGGGCUGGCCUUGGGCUCCUGGUCAGCACCCAUCUGGACCCUCUGUAUAGAAGCCACCAGAGGUCCAGGUGGGGCUUCCUGGGAGCUUCCCAGGGGCAAGAGUCUGAAUCUGUUUUCAGUUAAAUAGAGGACAGUUAUGAGACACUGUCUUAUAGACCUCAAGCCUGGCAUCUAGCAAAGUCCAGCCUCAGGGCUGCAGAAGCACCCAGGGACACAGCUAUCACUGAGCUGGGCAGGUCCAGGAGGAGGAGUGCCCUUCUCCCCGGAGGAGCAGUUCUUCUCUGUAUGCAUUUUCCGGGCCCCUGACGCAAGCAAGAGAUAAAAGUGUGGAGGGGUAGCUGGCCAGGACUGACCCUAUCCCAGUUCCUGGGCCAGCAGCCCCCUACCCUGGGGGCCCCAUUGCCAAAGGACCUGCUUAUUCACAGCAGGUCUUUGUGCCCCAGUCUCGCACGUGCGGGGGUGGGACGGGGUCCUUGGCACAGAGCCGCUCUCUGACCACACGGGACUGUGCUGGCCAAGGUCUCAGCCAUGUAUAAAAGGGGUGCCCGGGCUGCAAGCAGCAGGACUUCACCAAGCAACAGCCAAGUCCUCUGCCACUCCUUUCAAGCUCUGCACAGUUCUCGGGCCACCCGGUGCCCUCCGGCAGUCUGGACCCAGGGGACCGACCCUUCUGCUGCUGCUGCCUGCAACUAUCAAAGGAUGGCCUGCACAUUCUCGCUGGCUGUUCCUUUUUCCUAUGCAUAUACUUCUUUGUGGAUCUGGUCUAAAGAGGUAUAGCGCAUGGGAAAAUGGAGCAGUGAGAUCUUCCCCACCCAAACAAAGCAUCUGCUUCCCGACCAGGCGACUUCUGCUUCCCUCCCACUGGACCCGGGGCUGGGUGCUUUUCUGUCCGCUCCAGGACACUGUAAGAGAAGAGCCACACUGCAUUUCCGGUGUCUUAGGGGAACAGCGUUGGCCCCACCCAGGCAGACUUUAGGAACCAGUUGUGCAGGUGUUAAAAUGGCGGGUUUGAGAUGUAAUGGAGGGGGAACUCUGGGGCAGAUCCGACCUAUCCAAGAUUUUACACAGGGUAUUGGAACAGGAACUGAAGUGUACUUAGGCAAUCCUGGGGUCCUGGGGACCUUAGAAGAGGUGGAUGGACUCAGGACUUGAUCUUUGAAAUUUUCUUUACAAGUGUGAAAUCAGUGUGAACACAUUUUCACACAAGUGGGUGACCUUGGGUCUGAUGUUGGAGGAGGUAAAAGGACCGGCUGAGGGGUCCGUGGGUGGGCUCUGGGUUCAAUCUGUGUGGUUUCUUCUCACCAUUAUUACAUUUUUUUAAUAAUGGGUGUGGUUGAUUUUUUUGAGCCGAAGUUCUAGAGAAGCUGAACACUCAGUGGCAGAAUGCUCGCCAUUGAUGAGUGAGGGGCUCUUUGGGUUAAAUUUCCAGAACUGAAAAAAAGAAAGAAAGAAAGAAAGAAAGAAAGAAAGAAAGAAAGAAAGAAAGAAAGAAAGGAAGGAAGGAAGAAAGAGAGAAAGAAAGAAAGAGGGAGAGAAAAAAAGAAAGAAAGGAACCAAGCAAGCAAGGAAGGAAGAAAGAAAAAAAGAUCAGGAAAGCUGACAAAAAUAAAAUGUUUGGACCAA